RNAcentral lists this ribosomal RNA (433 nucleotides) under uncultured bacterium. Its description in RNAcentral is "partial 16S ribosomal RNA". It matches the Rfam family "Bacterial small subunit ribosomal RNA", at positions 29 to 507 of the family's 1533-position model. The record is from RNAcentral.
AACGAACGCUGGCGGCAUGCCUAACACAUGCAAGUCGAACGAUCCCUUCGGGUCUAGUGGCGCACGGGUGCGUAACGCGUGGGAACCUGCCCUUAGGUUCGGAAUAACUCCCCGAAAGGGGUGCUAAUACCGGCUAAUGUCUUCGGACCAAAGGUUUAUCGCCUUUGGAUGGGCCCGCGUUGGAUUAGCUAGUUGGUAGGGUAAAAGCCUACCAAGGCGACGAUCCAUAGCUGGUCUGAGAGGAUGAUCAGCCACACUGGGACUGAGACACGGCCCAGACUCUUACGGGAGGCAGCAGUGGGGAAUAGUGGAACAGGGGCUAAAGCCUGAACCAGCAAGGCCGCGUGAGUGAUGAAGGCCUUAGGGUUGUAAAGCUCUUUGACCCGGGAUGAUAAUGACAGUACCGGGAGAAUAAGCUCCGGCUAACUCCGUG